AUGUUCAAUUCCUUUAUUAACCAGAGGGCGCUGAUUGAGCUUCCCCUUCUGGAUAGAUGCUACACUUGGUCUAGCAAAAGAGAUCAACCCACUCUCGAAAAAAUUGACCGAGUUUUCAUCAAUGUGGACUGGGAUUCCACCACCAUUUCCUCGCUCACCAGAUUCGUCUCUGACCAUGUUCCCCUGCUGAUCUCUAUAGAUACCGUCAUCCCUCGUCCCGCGCUUUUUCGUUUCGAACUUAGAUGGACCACUAGGCCGGCCUGUCUUACGGUAGUCCAAAACGCCUGGGCCGCGGCCCGCUCUUGCUCAAACCACUCGCUUUCCUUAGUGGCUGCUCUCAAACGUACUCGCGCUGACUUAAAAAUUUGGCGGCGCUCCGCUCUGCCUCUAAAUACUCGGGAGAAGAACUGCAAGACUGUCAUUUCCGUUCUCGACCUUAUCGAAGAAUCUCGUUUCCUCUCGUCUCCUGAACUGGCUCUCCGUCGUGUCAUUAUUAAAGUUCUCCAACGCACGCUUCGUGAGAAAGCCCUAUAUUGGAUCCAGCGUGGAAAAAUUUGCACCACCUUAGAAGGAGAUGAAAACUCUCGCUUCUUUCACGCGUCUGCCUUUGCCCGUCUCCGGAAAAAUAAAAUUAAUACUCUUGUCUCAAAUGGCUCGGAGUUCUUCUCCCACGAUGCUAAAUCCAACAUUCUUUCUGACUUCUACGCCUCCCUUCUCGGCACGGCCUUUCAGCCAACCUGGUCCUUCGCUCUCACGGAUUUAUACCCAGAACCCGUUCCACAACUCUGCUCUCUGGAUGCCCCCUUCACAGACGCCGAAAUCACCAAUGCCUUCCUCUCCAUGAACAAGAAUGCUAGUCCUGGACCGGACGGCUUCGGCCCAGGGUUCUACCGCAAAUUUUGGCACAUCCUCAAAGAGAAGAUAACUCAUUUCCUUUCAGACUUUCACGCCCAAAACAGCGAUAUCUCUUGCCUUAACCGGGCCCUCAUAAUCCUCCUUCCAAAGCAUCCCGAUGCUCGCUCCCCCGCUGACUUCCGCCCCAUCUCUCUUCAAAACUGUCCUAUCAAAGGAGUCGCAAAACUUCUAACCAACAGGCUAAAACCCCUUAUCCCCCUCUUGGUGCAUGCUGACCAGACCGGUUUCCUGUCUGGUCGUAACAUCUCUGAGAACUUCCUCUACGCUGCAGAUAUCCUUCACUGUUGUGCAAAAAGGAAAACCCCCUCCCUCAUAAUCAAACUAGACUUUCGGAAAGCUUUUGACUCUGUUUGCUGGAAGACCCUCCUCCAUACCCUUCAGGUUAGAGGUUUCCCCCCUCGGUUGUGCGACUGGAUUAACUCUCUCCUUAACACUGGAUCCACUACCGUUAUGCUAAAUGGCAUCCCGGGGAGGUGGAUUCAAUGCAAAAAUGGCCUCCGGCAGGGCGACCCUCUCUCCCCUUACCUUUUCAUUAUUGUCGCCGAUAUCCUCCAACGAAUGAUCAUCAAAGCCAACAGUGAAGGUAAGUUGUUGCACCCCCUAAGCCCUCGCCUUCCCUGUCCCGUCCUUCAAUACGCCGAUGACACGCUUAUCAUAGUUAAAGCUACGCCCGGGGCCGCAAAACACCUUAAGAGUAUUCUAGAUAGCUUCGCUGCGGCCACUGGUCUCCAGAUUAAUUUUGACAAGACCACCUUUAUCCCUCUUAAUGUUGAUCCCACUAACGCAGCUCUUAUGGCAGCUGACCUUGCCACUAACAUCUCCUCCUUCCCGCAAACUUAUCUCGGCCUUCCUCUCUCUCCCUACAAACUCCCCCCCUCGGCCUUCCAUCCAGUCAUCGAUCGGUGUGAUAUCUACCUAGCUGGGUGGUGCGCGCUACUUCUCUCUCGUGGUGGCAAGCUUGUUCUCCUCUCCGCCGUUCUUGACAGCCUCCCUACCUAUUUUCUGCACUGUUUCGCUCUUCCUGUCCAGGUUAUUGAAGCUAUCGACAAGAGACGACGUACCUUUUUCUGGUCUAACGACGACACUUGCUCUGGGGCAAAAUGCCUGGUUGCUUGGGAUAAAGUUUGUAUCCCUAGAGAAGCUGGUGGUCUAGGUGUAAAAAACCUUCGCGCACAAAACUUUUGUCUACUGCUGAAAUUUGCUUAUAAAUUUUUACACUCCUCAAACCUUCCUUGGAAGGAUUGGGUCUUACACCAUUCGCCUCUUCACAUUGGACAUGGCAAAAACAGCUCUUUCCUAGCUAAAACCAUUUUCAAGCAUCUUCAGAGUUUGAGAGAGAUUUCCCAGUGCACUGUUGGAGAUGGUUGCUCUACUUUUUUUUGGUUAGAUCAUUGGCUAAAGCCGGAACCCCUGGCUUUAGUGUACCCAGCUCUUUUUUCUCACCACACAAACCAACAUGGCCUGGUAGUCACUAUUUUGCAGGAUGGGAUCGAACUUGCUCUUCGUAAUCGACUAACCUCUACUGCGAUUGCAGAACUUGCUUCUCUUAAUUCCUUGUUGCAGGACUGUGCACUCUCUCAGGUACCGGACGAUCGUCGCCUGCUUAACGGCGCUGCCUUUUCCACAAAGGGCGCAUAUGCGGCCCUCUCGGAUCACCUCUCGGACCCCAUGCUUAAUGAUAUUUGGGACUCAAUGGUUCCCAAGAAGGUUAUGAUCUUCGGUUGGCUAUUCUACCUUGAUCGCCUAAACACCAGGAAGAAUCUGCAUAAGAAGAACAUUCUGGACUCUUCAGCUUGUCCUAGAUGUACUCACUCGGUUGAGGAUCGACAACACCUUUUUUUUACUUGUCCAACAACUCGCAAGAUCUGGAGAGCAGCCGGCAUCUGCCCUCUUUACACUCCUAUCACAAGUCUCUUCAGCACGACGCUUCCGGAUCCGCUGCCUACCACGGUCCGCCCCUUCAUGCUCCUUUUGAUUCUUUGGAAAAUCUGGGACGCACGCAACAAGAAAGUUUUCCAAGGACUAGAUGUUGUGGCCUCAAACUCAUUGAGAGCUAUCCUGGAUGAUUUGAUUGUUUGGUCUCAUAGACUAAAAUCUGUAACUUUAAAGGGCCACGCCGGUCUGUGGCGUGAGUUCCUAUCCUCGCAACACUCUUAA
Molecule: ribosomal RNA, 3072 nt
Filed under: Triticum aestivum (bread wheat)
Lineage: Eukaryota; Viridiplantae; Streptophyta; Magnoliopsida; Poales; Poaceae
Description: partial small subunit ribosomal RNA
Source: RNAcentral